Neodiprion fabricii is the source of this 594-nucleotide long non-coding RNA. RefSeq lists it as uncharacterized. Lineage: Eukaryota; Metazoa; Arthropoda; Insecta; Hymenoptera; Diprionidae. The record is from RefSeq and is a predicted model, not a curated record. The transcript is spliced from 5 exons.
GAAACAGCACGAUUUUGACCUUCUACCGAUAAGAAUUGUCGGUAAGACAGUGCGAUUUUUACCGUCGACCGCUACAACUGUCGGCGAGGUUGCACGUUUUUGACCUCAAGUCGGUACGGUAGAGCACGUUUUAUGUGACGAGAGUGGGAGUAACCUUUAAGGCUUUGCGUCUGGGAUGCGCAGAGCGGCUCGGUCAGUAAAGAAGGUGUUUGUACUCAGAACCCCCCCUUGCUAUACUACUAAUCCUUACACAUUAUUUUUGAUGUGUUCUUAUACUGAAACUAUUUAUUACUAUUCAAGGUAACCUAAGGUGGUUAUGGGUGGUUGUUGGAGGUAGUUGGCGGUGGUUGGAGAUGGUUGGAGGUGGACAAGGAGGAGAACGAAGACGACGAGGAGAACGAGAAUUUGUGCUCGUAUUUCACAACAGUGAUACCUUAUCACAUGGACAGUGGCCCACCUGAUAAUCAAGCAUUACAAGUCCUCAUUAAGAUAUUAAAGGAUAUUAAUGAGGAUAGUCCAACGGUGCCCACAUUAUUAACGGACUACAUAUUGAAAGUUCUGUGCCCCACCUAGGGAUCCACCAGUACAUAUCCU